UUUUUUACUUUAGGGUUCGUCCAUCUCAUGGCGGGGACGACGAGAGAUUUUAAGGUGCGUCUCCGCUCGAUUCUUCCGGGCGCUUGACGAUCGCUGCUUGAAAUGGCGCUGGAUCUUGACAUCGCUGCGAUCGCCGGGCAGCUGGAGCACCAGCGCGUGGAUGAUUUUAAGCGCUCCAAUGCGGCAGCGCUGUUCGAGGGCUUGCUGAUGGCUACUGCGAAUCAGCUCCAGCCGACGCAGCAAGAUUUCGAGGCCAGAGUAGAUAUUUUGCGGCGGCUGGAGUUUUUGAUAAGAGAAAUCGAUGUUUGCAAAGGCUUGGCAAUCAAACCUUUUGGAUCGUUCCUGUCAAACUUGUAUACGCCUUGGGGAGAUUUAGAUAUUACUUUGAUGCCGCUUGAGCCGGCACCGCUUUCCAGGAGCAAAAAGACCAAAAUUCUGAAGUCUAUCCAUGAUGCUCUACUUCAAGCUGGUGGAGCGAUUCGUGUCCAAGUUCUCUUUCGGCCUCGCGUGCCACUCUUGAUGUUUGAGGAUGCAUGGUGGAGAAUCUCAUGUGACAUCUCCGUGAGCAAUACCGACGCUGUUUUCAAGUCACACGCCCUGGGCCUGAUUGUUGGUAUGGAUUUAAGGUGCAGGCAGCUCAUCUUCCUCGUGAGUGUUAAGUGCUGGGCCAAAGCGCAGUGCAUUAACGAUCCAAAGAUGGGGACAUUGAACUCGUAUGCACUGUCUUUACUCGUUAUAUUUCAUCUCCAAACUCGAAAUCCGCCUAUUUUGCCACCAUUGAGCGCUAUCAUCGGUCAAGGCGGUGCCUCAGCUGAUGGGUUUCAUUAUCUAAACAGGAUCGCAGAGUUCACAGAAAGAGGUUUUGGGAAGGGAAACACGAGCUCAGUUGCAGAGUUGUUCGUGUCAUUUUUUGGCCAGUUUUCGGCUGUUGAGGAGUUGUGGAUUCAAGGUCUAGCUGUGUGUACUUUCCGUGGACAGUGGGGGGACAAAACGACCACCGAUCCGGCAUGGGCAAGCAAGAAUUAUGCGCUGCUGGUGGAAGACCCGUUUGAUUUAUCUGAAAACUGUUCAAGAUCCGUGCAUCAAGGCAGCCUUCAACAUGUUUGCAAGGCGUUCAGGCUGACUCACGAGCUACUGUGCGAUAAAUUCUCCUACUGGUUCUUGGGAAAACUGAAAGAAACGCUCUUCCGGUGGCCGCAUGCGAGUCCACGGCCCUGUUUUCAUCCGUCGAGGCCAGGGAUAGAGCAGCUACGGGAACACGUCUCGCUCAACGCUUCCAGGAAAAAUGACAGGCCGGAGAAGCAAAAGAAAGGAAAGAAACAAGUAAAGCAAUGACAUCACAGCAGAAUGUAAAUAUCUUAACAUAGGUACGUCAGAGAGUUCCAAGGCCGAGUUUUCUAAUCACGUUUCCUUCAGGAUCGAUCGCAACCCCGCCAACGCAAAUGGUCAAGAAGUUUGGAUCAGAAAACAGAAGAGAACUAAAAGUUACUGUGCUCCAACCCAGCAAGAAUUCACACCCAUUUUUUUUUUUUUUAUGGUCAUGGAUCAUGGGAUUACACCACAAUCUCGCUCUUUGCUUGCUCUUUAAACAUCAGAGCAGUCGGCAGGAUUUGGAGUCGGAUAGUAUAGGUUAUAGACUACCUCUCAACUGUCCCUCAACCAUUCUCAACUUGCUUGAAGAA
This is an RNA transcript of Selaginella moellendorffii, 1682 nucleotides long. It is a transcript of the gene named protein HESO1, with no coding region annotated. NCBI's taxonomy places the organism in Eukaryota, Viridiplantae, Streptophyta, Lycopodiopsida, Selaginellales, Selaginellaceae. The record is from RefSeq and is a predicted model, not a curated record. The transcript is spliced from 9 exons.